This 253-nucleotide ribosomal RNA is filed under the name uncultured bacterium. RNAcentral's name for it is "partial 16S ribosomal RNA". It matches the Rfam family "Bacterial small subunit ribosomal RNA", at positions 524 to 776 of the family's 1533-position model. The record is from RNAcentral.
UACGGAGGGUGCAAGCGUUAUCCGGAAUUACUGGGUUUAAAGGGUGCGUAGGCGGUUUCAUAAGUCAGUGGUGAAAGUUUUCAGCUUAACUGGAGAAUUGCCAUUGAAACUGUGGGACUUGAAUUAUGUUGAGGUUAGCGGAAUGUGACAUGUAGCGGUGAAAUGCAUAGAUAUGUCAUAGAACACCAAUUGCGAAGGCAGCUAGCUAGGCAUAUAUUGACGCUGAGGCACGAAAGCGUGGGGAGCGAACAGG